Plectropomus leopardus (leopard coralgrouper) is the source of this 259-nucleotide long non-coding RNA. RefSeq lists it as uncharacterized. The record is from RefSeq and is a predicted model, not a curated record. NCBI's taxonomy places the organism in Eukaryota, Metazoa, Chordata, Actinopteri, Perciformes, Serranidae.
GGAGUGCCCUGUGUCUGAGAGGAGGAAACACAACCCAGAAUUAGCUCAACUGACAGCAGAGAGCACACAGACGCAUUUACAGAUUAGAACAAAAUUCUGAAAGAAGUCUCCCAUACCACGGCCUCGGUGUUACUGUGCGUGCUGCUCCUGCUGUGGGUCCUCCGGUGCUCCAGCCAGGUCUCAGAGGGUUCAUAUCUCGAUGCUCACAAAUCCCUCACCCUGCUGCUCCACCUCCAUCCCCGCCUCUCUCAUGUGCAUC